RNAcentral lists this ribosomal RNA (484 nucleotides) under uncultured bacterium. Its description in RNAcentral is "partial 16S ribosomal RNA". It matches the Rfam family "Bacterial small subunit ribosomal RNA", at positions 28 to 507 of the family's 1533-position model. The record is from RNAcentral.
AUUGAACGCUGGCGGCAUGCUUUACACAUGCAAGUCGAACGGCAGCGCGGGCUUCGGCCUGGCGGCGAGUGGCGAACGGGUGAGUAAUGCAUCGGAACGUGCCCAGUAGUGGGGGAUAGCCCGGCGAAAGCCGGAUUAAUACCGCAUACGACCUGAGGGUGAAAGCGGGGGACCGAAAGGCCUCGCGCUCUUGGAGCGGCCGAUGUCGGAUUAGCUAGUUGGUGGGGUAAAGGCUUACCAAGGCGACGAUCCGUAGCUGGUCUGAGAGGACGACCAGCCACACUGGGACUGAGACACGGCCCAGACUCCUACGGGAGGCAGCAGUGGGGAAUUUUGGACAAUGGGGGCAACCCUGAUCCAGCCAUGCCGCGUGCGGGAAGAAGGCCUUCGGGUUGUAAACCGCUUUUGUUCGGGAAGAAAUCCUAUGGGCUAAUACCCCGGGGGGAUGACGGUACCGGAAGAAUAAGCACCGGCUAACUACGUG